This 766-nucleotide ribosomal RNA is filed under the name Leptodactylus pustulatus. Its description in RNAcentral is "partial small subunit ribosomal RNA". It matches the Rfam family "Bacterial small subunit ribosomal RNA", at positions 198 to 1397 of the family's 1533-position model. Lineage: Eukaryota; Metazoa; Chordata; Amphibia; Anura; Leptodactylidae. The record is from RNAcentral.
CCCGGUGAGAACGCCCUUAAUUUCCCGUUAGGAAUAAGGAGCCGGUAUCAGGCACAUUUUUUAGCCCAAGACGCCUAGCCAUGCCACACCCAUAAGGGACCUCAGCAGUGAUUAAUAUUGAAUAUGAGCGACAGCUUGAUUCAGCUAAAGUAAAGAGGGCCGGCAAAUCUGGUGCCAGCCGCCGCGGUUACACCACGUGGCCCAAAUCGACCUUACUCGGCGUAAAGCGUGAUUUAAGAGAUGAACUCAUGGUGUCAAAAGAGUACUAAGCUGUGACACGCUUGUGCUUCAGAAGACCAAAAACGAAAGUUACACCAACCCCACUCACUUGAACCCACGACAGCUUGGAAACAAACUGGGAUUAGAUACCCCACUAUGCCUAGCCGUAAACUUUAACUUACACUUCAAUCGCCAGGGGACUACAAGCAAAGCUUUAAACCCAAAGGACUUGACGGUACCCCAAAUCCACCUAGAGGAGCCUGUCCUAUAAUCGAUAACCCCCGCUUAACCUCACCUCUUCUUGCCUUUCAGCCUGUAUACCUCCGUCGUCAGCUUACCGUGUGAGCGCCACUAAGUGAGCUUAACGCCCAUACACCAAUACGUCAGGUCAAGGUGCAGCUUAUGAAGAGGGAAGCGAUGGGCUACACUCUCUAAAGUAGAAAAAACAAAAGACUUCAUGAAACCUAGUCGGAAGGAGGAUUUAGUAGUAAAAAGAAAUUAGAGUGUUCUUUUUAACCCGGCACUGGGGUGUGUACACACCGCCCGU